AGCGGGGCCGCAGUUUGCCGGCCAGUGACGAGUACGACUCGCCCGAGGUCGAAUCCGACUCGGCCAGCGACCCGGGACUGGUGCGGUCCUCGUCCCUGCACCGCGGCCAGCGCUCCUUCCACAGAGAUAUGUCACGGUGCGCCGAGUCUUCCAGCUCCUCCUGCCAGGUGUCUCCUGACGUCAGGUCAAGGUCAUUCUCCGUCAAACGCACCAAACGGAAGAGGCGCCGCGCUCGCACGCCCGUGCUGAUGCCGCCGUCACCCGAGUACGGCACGGCCGCCGUCGGCCGCGGUCGGC
Long non-coding RNA from Pollicipes pollicipes, 297 nucleotides. RefSeq lists it as uncharacterized. The record is from RefSeq and is a predicted model, not a curated record. NCBI's taxonomy places the organism in Eukaryota, Metazoa, Arthropoda, Thecostraca, Pollicipedomorpha, Pollicipedidae. The transcript has 3 exons.